Molecule: microRNA precursor, 201 nt
Filed under: Oryza barthii
Lineage: Eukaryota; Viridiplantae; Streptophyta; Magnoliopsida; Poales; Poaceae
Description: MIR812 microRNA precursor family
Rfam family: MIR812 microRNA precursor family
Source: Rfam by way of RNAcentral
AAUAAAUACAGUUUUGCACUGUUUAUAUCUAACGUUUGGCCAUUCGUCAUAUCUAAAAAUUUAUUAUGAUUACUAUUUUUAUUGUUAUUAGGUGAUAAAAUAUGAAUAAUACUUUAUGUGUGACUAAUUCUUUUUAAUUUUUUUUAUAAUUUUUUCAAAUAAGAUAAACGGUUGAUACGGAUACCGACGGCUGCACUUAUU